This 253-nucleotide ribosomal RNA is filed under the name uncultured bacterium. RNAcentral's name for it is "partial 16S ribosomal RNA". It matches the Rfam family "Bacterial small subunit ribosomal RNA", at positions 524 to 776 of the family's 1533-position model. The record is from RNAcentral.
UACGUAGGGAGCAAGCGUUGUCCGGAAUCAUUGGGCGUAAAGCGCGCGUAGGUGGCCUCAUAAGUCCGCUGUGAAAGUCAAAGGCUCAACCUUUGAAAGCCGGUGGAUACUGUGAGGCUAGAGUACGGAAGAGGCGAGUGGAAUUCCUGGUGUAGCGGUGGAAUGCGCAGAUAUCAGGAGGAACACCAAUAGCGAAGGCAGCUCGCUGGGACGUUACUGACGCUGAGACGCGAAAGCGUGGGGAGCGAACAGG